GGCUGGCCCAAGUACAGAGGUGUUUACAACCAAUUGAUUACCAGUUACAGAUGUCUUUGUUCCUGCUCCACUCCCACUGUUUCAUUUGACUAGCCUUUU
Non-coding RNA from Callithrix jacchus (white-tufted-ear marmoset), 99 nucleotides. The record is from Rfam. Lineage: Eukaryota; Metazoa; Chordata; Mammalia; Primates; Cebidae.